AGGAGGAUUAGGAAUCUUCAUAUAUAAUGCAAACAGGGAUAAUUUAAUAAAAAUGAAGUUUCAACAUAUAUUACAUGUGAACCCUAAACUCCACAAUUCACCGUGCCGUCCAUAGCGUUGGGAACAUACGGAUAUGGCAUUGAGAUGAAAACAAACAGGCGACUGUUGGUAAGUGGCUUUGAUCCAUUCAUCAGGUAAUAGGGGGUAGUUAACCCUACACUGAAAUUUAUGAGAAGGCCAAGUUUUUCACAAAAACAAAACAUAGAUGUUUAAAACCAGGCCAGUAGAAAACAAAAAAACAAAUGUACCUUUGAUCAUCAUCGAAGUUAUGUUACAGAGGUAACAUCAAACCCAACCAUCUCCAUUACCUUCACUUGUGUCGAAGCACCCAUAAAAACAUUUACUUUCCCGAUAAUACGUCCUCUGCAACUUUCAGACUUGUCAUAAUGAGAGAAACAUGCAAUGCCAG
This 469-nucleotide long non-coding RNA is filed under the name Gossypium raimondii (Peruvian cotton). RNAcentral describes it as "long non-coding RNA (GRAI_LNC008862)". Lineage: Eukaryota; Viridiplantae; Streptophyta; Magnoliopsida; Malvales; Malvaceae. The record is from RNAcentral.